This 589-nucleotide unclassified non-coding RNA is filed under the name Penicillium rubens. RNAcentral's name for it is "partial contains ITS1, 5.8S rRNA and ITS2". The stretch from base 210 to 362 matches the Rfam family "5.8S ribosomal RNA". Lineage: Eukaryota; Fungi; Ascomycota; Eurotiomycetes; Eurotiales; Aspergillaceae. The record is from RNAcentral.
CUUCCGUAGGGUGAACCUGCGGAAGGAUCAUUACCGAGUGAGGGCCCUCUGGGUCCAACCUCCCACCCGUGUUUAUUUUACCUUGUUGCUUCGGCGGGCCCGCCUUAACUGGCCGCCGGGGGGCUUACGCCCCCGGGCCCGCGCCCGCCGAAGACACCCUCGAACUCUGUCUGAAGAUUGUAGUCUGAGUGAAAAUAUAAAUUAUUUAAAACUUUCAACAACGGAUCUCUUGGUUCCGGCAUCGAUGAAGAACGCAGCGAAAUGCGAUACGUAAUGUGAAUUGCAAAUUCAGUGAAUCAUCGAGUCUUUGAACGCACAUUGCGCCCCCUGGUAUUCCGGGGGGCAUGCCUGUCCGAGCGUCAUUUCUGCCCUCAAGCACGGCUUGUGUGUUGGGCCCCGUCCUCCGAUCCCGGGGGACGGGCCCGAAAGGCAGCGGCGGCACCGCGUCCGGUCCUCGAGCGUAUGGGGCUUUGUCACCCGCUCUGUAGGCCCGGCCGGCGCUUGCCGAUCAACCCAAAUUUUUAUCCAGGUUGACCUCGGAUCAGGUAGGGAUACCCGCUGAACUUAAGCAUAUCAAUAAGCGGAGGAA